UCUUUUCCUUUUUUUCCAGCAGCCGCGGUAAUACGGGGGAUGCGAGCGUUAUCCGGAUUUAUUGGGUUUAAAGGGCGCGUAGGCGGGACGGCAAGUCAGCGGUAAAAGACUGCAGCUAAACUGUAGCACGCCGUUGAAACUGUUGACCUGGAGACGAGACGAGGGAGGCGGAACAAGUGAAGUAGCGGUGAAAUGCAUAGAUAUCACUUGGAACCCCGAUAGCGAAGGCAGCUUCCCAGGCUCGUUCUGACGCUGAUGCGCGAGAGCGUGGGUAGCGAACAGG
This 283-nucleotide ribosomal RNA is filed under the name Butyricimonas virosa. RNAcentral describes it as "partial 16S ribosomal RNA". It matches the Rfam family "Bacterial small subunit ribosomal RNA", at positions 493 to 776 of the family's 1533-position model. Lineage: Bacteria; Pseudomonadati; Bacteroidota; Bacteroidia; Bacteroidales; Odoribacteraceae. The record is from RNAcentral.